RNAcentral lists this long non-coding RNA (595 nucleotides) under Panax ginseng (ginseng). Its description in RNAcentral is "long non-coding RNA (PGIN_LNC006291)". The record is from RNAcentral. Lineage: Eukaryota; Viridiplantae; Streptophyta; Magnoliopsida; Apiales; Araliaceae.
UCAAAUUGAGUAGUUUGUGUAUCAUGUUUCUUUUGCUACUGCAGGGGUUUGCAACCUUUGACUAAAGAAUGUCAUGCUGCCAAGCUUUUCUCAAAGCAUAUGAAGGUUGAGGAUCAGGUAGUGAUAUCUUUUCUCAAAACUUUUAUUAGGACCGAGUACUGUAAUAAUAUAUAAGGUGAGGAGGUCUUUCAAAGCGUUGCGUUGUUCAUAAAGUAAAUAUGUGUGCGCUCAUUUAUUUUUUAGAUAAUUCAUGGUAAAGUAAGAGUUCUUAUGUUUCGGAUUUACAGUUGUUUUAUUUUGACAAACAUAUUUCGAUAAUUUUUAUAUUUUAAAUAUUUUCAGGUAUACAUUGAAGGAUACUUGGUGUAAGCUGUAAAGUAAUGGGUCUUAUGCUCAAAAUGUUGUUUCUCUAUUUUUCUGCAUGUUUGUAUAUUUUUGGUUCCAUCUUUUGUAAAGUUAAUUAAUUAUACAUGGUUAUGAUGAUUUUUGGGUAUGGAAUAAUUGUUUUUUUGGUGGUUUGUAUAUAGAUUGAUGAUUAUAAGUUUUGUAGACAGGUUUAAAAUUUUUGGGAUAUCUAUUUUUAAAGGAAACUCUG